Molecule: ribosomal RNA, 497 nt
Filed under: uncultured bacterium
Lineage: Bacteria
Description: partial 16S ribosomal RNA
Rfam family: Bacterial small subunit ribosomal RNA
Source: RNAcentral
GAUGAACGCUGGCGGCGUGCCUAAUACAUGCAAGUCGAGCGAACAGACGAGGAGCUUGCUCCUCUGACGUUAGCGGCGGACGGGUGAGUAACACGUGGAUAACCUACCUAUAAGACUGGGAUAACUUAGGGAAACCGGAGCUAAUACCGGAUAAUAUAUUGAACCGCAUGGUUCAAUAGUGAAAGACGGUUUUGCUGUCACUUAUAGAUGGAUCCGCGCCGCAUUAGCUAGUUGGUAAGGUAACGGCUUACCAAGGCAACGAUGCGUAGCCGACCUGAGAGGGUGAUCGGCCACCCUGGAACGGAGACACGGUCCAGACUCCUACGGGAGGCAGCAGUAGGGAAUCUUCCGCAAUGGGCGAGAGCCUGACGGAGCAACGCCGCGUGAGUGAUGAAGGUCUUCGGAUCGUAAAACUCUGUUAUUAGGGAAGAACAAAUGUGUAAGUAACUAUGCACGUCUUGACGGUACCUAAUCAGAAAGCCACGGCUAACUACGUG